GAUGAACGCUGGCGGCGUGCCUAAUACAUGCAAGUCGAGCGAACAGACGAGGAGCUUGCUCCUCUGACGUUAGCGGCGGACGGGUGAGUAACACGUGGAUAACCUACCUAUAAGACUGGGAUAACUUCGGGAAACCGGAGCUAAUACCGGAUAAUAUAUUGAACCGCAUGGUUCAAUAGUGAAAGACGGUUUUGCUGUCACUUAUAGAUGGAUCCGCGCCGCAUUAGCUAGUUGGUAAGGUAACGGCUUACCAAGGCGACGAUGCGUAGCCGACCUGAGAGGGUGAUCGGCCACACUGGAACUGAGACACGGUCCAGACUCCUACGGGAGGCAGCAGUAGGGAAUCUUCCGCAAUGGGCGAAAGCCUGACGGAGCAACGCCGCGUGAGUGAUGAAGGUCUUCGGAUCGUAAAACUCUGUUAUUAGGGAAGAACAAAUGUGUAAGUAACUAUGCACGUCUUGAGGUACCUAAUCAGAAAGCCACGGCUAACUACGUG
This 496-nucleotide ribosomal RNA is filed under the name uncultured bacterium. RNAcentral describes it as "partial 16S ribosomal RNA". It matches the Rfam family "Bacterial small subunit ribosomal RNA", at positions 28 to 507 of the family's 1533-position model. The record is from RNAcentral.